This 198-nucleotide small nuclear RNA is filed under the name Sciurus vulgaris (Eurasian red squirrel). RNAcentral describes it as "U2 spliceosomal RNA (ENSSVLG00005015516.1)". The stretch from base 1 to 118 matches the Rfam family "U2 spliceosomal RNA". Rfam says of the family: U2 is a small nuclear RNA (snRNA) component of the spliceosome (involved in pre-mRNA splicing). Lineage: Eukaryota; Metazoa; Chordata; Mammalia; Rodentia; Sciuridae. The record is from RNAcentral.
AUUGCUUUUCAGUCUUUUGGCUAAAAUAAAGUGCAGUAUCUGUUAUCAGCUUAAUAACUGAUGCAUUCUCUACCUGAAACAUAUUUAUUUUUAUUUGUGAUUGGAUUUGGGAAUGAAUUGAGGAUAUUUUGUCAAAAUUCAUUUGCAUCCGUAUUUGAGCUUUGAGGCCAGGUCUGCUCCUGUCAGUGAGGACUGGCU